RNAcentral lists this long non-coding RNA (503 nucleotides) under Parus major (Great Tit). Its description in RNAcentral is "lncRNA (ENSPMJG00000010417.1)". The record is from RNAcentral. Lineage: Eukaryota; Metazoa; Chordata; Aves; Passeriformes; Paridae.
CAGAGACUUAGAUGUGACCUAAAAAUACAGUAUUUCCUGUAAGAGGCACUUUUAUUCUACAACUUUGCUGAGCUGAUUUUGAUGUUUACCUCAGCGUGAGAUGAACUUUACAUACGAGGCCUUUUUCGUCAGAUCAUGGCCUUGGGUAGAAGUACUGGAGGCACUGAGCUGCUAGGGUGGCAUGUCUAACUAGAAUUACAUUGAAGGUAAGCAAGUAGCGUUUAAAUAGCAGAGACUUUUCUUUCUGUUGAUUCCAUUGCGUGGUCAGCAUUAAAGACAUCCAAUUAUUCUCCUGGAGAUAUGCUGCCCACCUCUCAGUUUUUAUUUUUAAACCUCUAAAUUUUUGGUGGUGGUUUGGAAUUUGCUGGUUUUGCUAGGUUUUUUACCUUUUGCAGAGGUUUUAAAGACAUUUAAGAUUUAUCUGAGGGGUAUAUCCAGAGGUUCCAACCCUUGAGAGUAUGACAGAAAAUUAGGAAAAGUGUUAAACCAGUACAGAAUAUCAG